GAGGGUAUAGCUCAAGUGGUAGAGUGCAUGCUUAGCAUGUGUGAGGUUCUGGGUUCAAUCCCCAGCACCAUCU
This 73-nucleotide transfer RNA is filed under the name Camelus bactrianus (Bactrian camel). It matches the Rfam family "tRNA". Rfam says of the family: Transfer RNA (tRNA) molecules are approximately 80 nucleotides in length. Their secondary structure includes four short double-helical elements and three loops (D, anti-codon, and T loops). Further hydrogen bonds mediate the characteristic L-shaped molecular structure. tRNAs have two regions of fundamental functional importance: the anti-codon, which is responsible for specific mRNA codon recognition, and the 3' end, to which the tRNAs corresponding amino acid is attached (by aminoacyl-tRNA synthetases). tRNAs cope with the degeneracy of the genetic code in two manners: having more than one tRNA (with a specific anti-codon) for a particular amino acid; and 'wobble' base-pairing, i.e. permitting non-standard base-pairing at the 3rd anti-codon position. RNAcentral also lists the same sequence under 2 other names. Lineage: Eukaryota; Metazoa; Chordata; Mammalia; Artiodactyla; Camelidae. The record is from Rfam by way of RNAcentral.